UCCGUUGCCGGUGGGGAGACUGGGAGCUUGGUGGCGCUCCUCCAGGACUUUCUCCGCUGACUUAUGCAGCUUAGCCUUGCCCUUUUCAUCCCCGCUUUUGUGGUUGUUAACGUCCUGGGUUCAGAUCCUGACAUUUGAUGAGCAAAACUAGGCUUUGAUUGGAAUUCUUCUGGGAGUAAAACUGGAACUGAGCUGAGAAGAACGAGCCAAGAAGAGCCUGUCACCUUGCUUACCAGAUUCCAAAGACCUCCAUGAAAGAUCUGUGUAAUGGGAAUCUUCUAAGUACCACAAAAAACGGGGCCAAGAGGCAAGUUCCCCCACCUGAAGCUGAAGUAUGUGCUGGACUGUCCUCCAGGAAUGUAAGAAAUUCAAGCGUUUUCUACAUGGAUACAGAAUAUUCAGCUCAAUUCUUUCCUCUGUUAGUAAGAUGAGCUCUCUAUACUGACCUCAUUUUUGUGGAUUUAUUUCAUACUAUUGUUCCCAAGAAGAGUUACUUUGUAUUUUGGGCUUUAUAUGUACCUCGUUGGCCAGAAACAUGAGCAGGCUAAAUAUAAACAGACCAAAAAAAAAAAAAAACCCUCUUAUAUUCAGAACAACUGAAUAGCAACAUUUCUCUAGAUUAAAGACAAGAAGCUACCUAUAAAUCGUUUUUCAACUCCAUAAUAUAGUGAUAGCCAGAAAUUAAUGAGGCAAAAGUAGCUUUCCCAGUUCCCUCGAGCUCUGAGUGAUCAUGUGACUAGUUCUUCCCAAUACAAAGUGAACGAAUGUGACAUGUUACCUCUGGACAUGUUAAGAAAUUCAUGUUGCUUCUCAAUGACCUCUUAGUCCACACCCAAAGAAUUGAUGUUAUAUACUAUGAUAUUCUCUAGAUAGUUGAUCUGUGAGCUGGAGGGAGAUAGUAUUCUUGCAAGACCACACAGGAAAAAAAUUGUUCCAUCACAAUUGUUUCUAAGUAAGAAUCAUUUUAUAAGAAAGAAUGUUUUUAUUCUGUUGAACUGUUGCAUUUGGAUUUAAUUAUCACCACAAUCUUGUGGGUCUUCAUUAAUCUUUACGAUGUAUAUACUUUCUGCUAUUGCUUACAAAUCUUUAAUAUUUUCAGAGACCUCAGUCUAUGUACCUCCCUAGGAAAUUCUGUAACUUCACUUAUUUUCAAUCGAGUGCACAUACUUUGUGGGUAUUUCGAUGUGUAAUAGACUUUAAUGGGGACGAGGGCAGAUGGUCAUAUAUAUUGGAACAAAAUGAAAUUGUUACUGGAAUGAUAACCAUGACAUUAACAAACUGUGUAGAUAAGUAGUGAUUUUACCACUUCUUAAAAGUAGAACUACAUCCCCUUAAAUUUAGCCAAUAUUAUUUGCUGUGCCCAUGAACAUUCACUGACAGGUUUGAUGAGACCACACUUCAUGCUUUCCUUGUUCAGACAGCGAAAGUUGUUUCAUGGAAAACGUGUUUUAAAUGAAAAUGAACAGGUAGGAAAUAAAACUAUAACACAAAUCUAGACCCAUAGUUGGAUAGCUGACAGCUGCAUGACUGCAGGAAAAAUAGUCAAUAUUUUCUGUAAUGAUAGAUUGAAAUGGGAUUGAAGUACAGCUGGAUUUUGUCUGAUGCUCCAUAACAGCACACAUCUCUCUCAGACUUAAAAGAAAUAUCUGGAUGAAUUUGAUGACUUAGACUAUUCAGUAAUCACAAAUUCUAUCACUUUUCUUUGUAUAUAAAUAUUGAUAAUUUUCUUCUAUCUAAUGUGGCAUUUCAGAAAUUAGAAUGCCUUGCUAAAUACUGUUUGUAAUAGAUUCAGGUUUGCUCAAUGAUACCUAUGUAAUGACUUCUCCAAGACCUUACAAAAAUAAUGUACACAAUUAAUGAUAUUUUUACUAGACUCAGAAAAAUAUAACCCCAUGAACUCAAGAACUGUGAU
This is a long non-coding RNA of Talpa occidentalis (Iberian mole), 1912 nucleotides long. RefSeq lists it as uncharacterized. The transcript is spliced from 4 exons. The record is from RefSeq and is a predicted model, not a curated record. NCBI's taxonomy places the organism in Eukaryota, Metazoa, Chordata, Mammalia, Eulipotyphla, Talpidae.